UUAAUUCAUACCCGCUAGCUGGAACAAAACAACAAUGUAUUCAUUUCUUUUUUUUAGUUGCCACUAGUGGUGCAUUAGUUUACAAAACAAGUGCACCUUCCUUCUUUUCAUUGGUUCCACUCACAAGCCACCUCACACUUAGUUCCUUAUUACUACUUUCAGAACUCAUCUCACAAUUAAAGUGCUUUAAGAGGUCAAAGCAUUAUAACAAUGUCAAUUAAGAACAAAAGGGCAUAGGCUUGUAAUACGGGUGCCAAACAAAAAGUCUAUAGGCUCAAAAGGGGUAACUGGGGAUAAAUUUUUAUUUGUGAUAAGCAGUAAAUCACAAAAAGAACAAAAACAGCCUAAUUUAUUUUUCAAACCGAGCAUUACCUAAAAUUUUGCUUCAACUCACACACCUGGCAAGUUCUAGACACAAGUACAAUACAUGGACUAUACAAAAGCCUCACCACAUAUGGCAUAUGACUCAUUCCAGAUCAGCUCAUCAAGACGCUCCAUUAUGAGUGUUCAAGUUAGUAACAAACAUACAGAUUAAGGCACUUUAGUGAGAUUCAACAAAUAAAACUAAG
Molecule: long non-coding RNA, 569 nt
Filed under: Nicotiana benthamiana
Lineage: Eukaryota; Viridiplantae; Streptophyta; Magnoliopsida; Solanales; Solanaceae
Description: long non-coding RNA (NBEN_LNC003688)
Source: RNAcentral